Molecule: ribosomal RNA, 497 nt
Filed under: uncultured bacterium
Lineage: Bacteria
Description: partial 16S ribosomal RNA
Rfam family: Bacterial small subunit ribosomal RNA
Source: RNAcentral
ACUCAAAUGAAUAGACGGGGGCCCGCACAAGCGGUGGAGUAUGUGGUUUAAUUCGAAGCAACGCGCAGAACCUUACCUAGCCUUGACAUCCCGUGACAGCUGCAGAGAUGCAGUCUUCCCUUCGGGGACACGGAGACAGGUGCUGCAUGGCUGUCGUCAGCUCGUGUUGUGAAAUGUUCGGUUAAGUCCGGCAACGAGCGCAACCCCUGUCCUUAGUUACCAGCAUUAAGUUGGGGACUCUAGGGAGACUGCCGGUGUCAAACCGGAGGAAGGCGGGGAUGACGUCAAGUCCUCAUGGCCCUUACGGCUAGGGCUACACACGUACUACAAUGGCAGAAACAAACCGUCGCGAAGCCGUGAGGUGGAGCUAAUCGGAAAAACACUGUCUCAGUCCGGAUUGGAGUCUGCAACUCGACUCCAUGAAGUUGGAAUCGCUAGUAAUCGCAGAUCAGCACGCUGCGGUGAAUACGUUCCCGGGCCUUGCACACACCGCCCGU